GAUGAACGCUGGCGGCGUGCCUAAUACAUGCAAGUCGAGCGAACGGACGAGAAGCUUGCUUCUCUGAUGUUAGCGGCGGACGGGUGAGUAACACGUGGAUAACCUACCUAUAAGACUGGGAUAACUUCGGGAAACCGGAGCUAAUACCGGAUAAUAUUUUGAACCGCAUGGUUCAAAAGUGAAAGACGGUCUUGCUGUCACUUAUAGAUGGAUCCGCGCUGCAUUAGCUAGUUGGUAAGGUAACGGCUUACCAAGGCAACGAUGCAUAGCCGACCUGAGGGUGAUCGGCCACACUGGAACUGAGACACGGUCCAGACUCCUACGGGAGGCAGCAGUAGGGAAUCUUCCGCAAUGGGCGAAAGCCUGACGGAGCAACGCCGCGUGAGUGAUGAAGGUCUUCGGAUCGUAAAACUCUGUUAUUAGGGAAGAACAUAUGUGUAAGUAACUGUGCACAUCUUGACGGUACCUAAUCAGAAAGCCACGGCUAACUACGUG
Molecule: ribosomal RNA, 495 nt
Filed under: uncultured bacterium
Lineage: Bacteria
Description: partial 16S ribosomal RNA
Rfam family: Bacterial small subunit ribosomal RNA
Source: RNAcentral